CUCCAUCUUUUAUCUUGAAGACUCAAAUUCUUCCGUGCCACACACCCUAUG
Molecule: transfer RNA, 51 nt
Filed under: Fruticicola koreana
Lineage: Eukaryota; Metazoa; Mollusca; Gastropoda; Stylommatophora; Camaenidae
Description: tRNA-Gln
Source: RNAcentral